CAGAACCACUUAGUCCUUUUGUAAC
RNAcentral lists this non-coding RNA (25 nucleotides) under Cricetulus griseus (Chinese hamster). Lineage: Eukaryota; Metazoa; Chordata; Mammalia; Rodentia; Cricetidae. The record is from RNAcentral.